Molecule: ribosomal RNA, 442 nt
Filed under: uncultured bacterium
Lineage: Bacteria
Description: partial 16S ribosomal RNA
Rfam family: Bacterial small subunit ribosomal RNA
Source: RNAcentral
CCUACGGGAGGCAGCAGUGGGGAAUAUUGGGCAAUGGGCGCAAGCCUGACCCAGCAACGCCGCGUGAAGGACGAAGGCUUUCGGGUUGUAAACUUCUUUUAAGGGGGAAGAGCAGAAGACGGUACCCCUUGAAUAAGCCACGGCUAACUACGUGCCAGCAGCCGCGGUAAUACGUAGGUGGCAAGCGUUGUCCGGCUUUACUUGGUGUAAAGGGCGUGCAGCCGGCGAGACAAGUCAGAUGUGAAAUCCACGGGCUCAACCCGUGAACUGCAUUUGAAACUGUUUCCCUUGAGUGUCGGAGAGGUAAUCGGAAUGCCUUGUGUAGCGGUGAAAUGCGUAGAUAUAAGGAAGAACACCAGUGGCGAAGGCGGAUUACUGGACGAUAACUGACGGUGAGGCGCGAAAGCGUGGGGAGCAAACAGGAUUAGAUACCCCUGUAGUC